Molecule: ribosomal RNA, 211 nt
Filed under: uncultured eukaryote
Lineage: Eukaryota
Description: partial small subunit ribosomal RNA
Rfam family: Eukaryotic small subunit ribosomal RNA
Source: RNAcentral
GGGAACCUCACCAGGCCCGUACACCGGAAGUAUUGAUAGAUUGAGAGUGGUGGUGCAUGGCCGUUCUUAGUUGGUGGAGUGAUUUGUCUGGUUAAUUCCGUUAACGAACGAGACCCCAGCCUGCUAAAUAAUCACGCUAAUGACUUUUCAUUGGCGAUUGGUUUCUUAGAGGGACAUGUAGUAUAAAACUACAGGAAGAUUGGGGCAAUAA